RNAcentral lists this long non-coding RNA (303 nucleotides) under Pelobates cultripes (western spadefoot toad). Lineage: Eukaryota; Metazoa; Chordata; Amphibia; Anura; Pelobatidae. The record is from RNAcentral.
AUACACAAGGUUACAUUUAUGACAUAAAAUACAGACAUGCAACAUAUCCCCAGAUAGCUUAGGUCUGAGCGCACAUUAUUACUGAAUGGCGCUCAGAGCACACACAUACAGUUCAAUUGCCAUGGAGCCAAAGUCUUUCCCAUAGUCUUUCAUUAUACGAAUGGGCUCCAUGGCAUAGCUAUCUGGGGUAUCACUGCUCAAACAGGGCAAGCACCAAAUGACCCAGCUUUCUUGUCUUUGCAGGGGAAAAUCAAGCCUUUUAACAUGGGGCCAUAAUCCAAAGGCAACAGGCGAGCAACCAGG